AGUGAACGCUGGCGGUAGGCCUAACACAUGCAAGUCGAACGGCAGCACAGUAAGAGCUUGCUCUUACGGGUGGCGAGUGGCGGACGGGUGAGGAAUACAUCGGAAUCUACUUUUUCGUGGGGGAUAACGUAGGGACACUUACGCUAAUACCGCAUACGACCUACGGGUGAAAGCAGGGGAUCUUCGGACCUUGCGCGAUUGAAUGAGCCGAUGUCGGAUUAGCUAGUUGGCGGGGUAAAGGCCCACCAAGGCGACGAUCCGUAGCUGGUCUGAGAGGAUGAUCAGCCACACUGGAACUGAGACACGGUCCAGACUCCUACGGGAGGCAGCAGUGGGGAAUAUUGGACAAUGGGCGCAAGCCUGAUCCAGCCAUACCGCGUGGGUGAAGAAGGCCUUCGGGUUGUAAAGCCCUUUUGUUGGGAAAGAAAAGCAGCAGGUUAAUACCCCGCUGUUCUGACGGUACCCAAAGAAUAAGCAACGGCUAACUUCGUG
This 492-nucleotide ribosomal RNA is filed under the name uncultured bacterium. Its description in RNAcentral is "partial 16S ribosomal RNA". It matches the Rfam family "Bacterial small subunit ribosomal RNA", at positions 29 to 507 of the family's 1533-position model. The record is from RNAcentral.